Molecule: ribosomal RNA, 108 nt
Organism: Coturnix japonica (Japanese quail)
Lineage: Eukaryota; Metazoa; Chordata; Aves; Galliformes; Phasianidae
Source: Ensembl
AAGUACAGCCACACCAAACUGAAUGCACUCAAUCUCACAAGCUAAGCUGUCCCAGACCCAAUUACUAUUUGCAUUGAGACCACCUGGGAAUCCCAAGUGCUGCAGGUC